CGCGUGAGGAACCUGCCUUGGAGUGGGGAAUAACAGCCAGAAAUGGCUGCUAAUACCGCAUAAUGCAGUUGGGUCGCAUGGCUCUGACUGCCAAAGAUUUAUCGCUCUAAGAUGGCCUCGCGUCUGAUUAGUUUGUUGGCGGGGUAACGGCCCACCAAGACGACGAUCAGUAGCCGGACUGAGAGGUUGGCCGGCCACAUUGGGACUGAGACACGGCCCAGACUCCUACGGAAGGCAGCAG
This 241-nucleotide ribosomal RNA is filed under the name uncultured bacterium. RNAcentral's name for it is "partial 16S ribosomal RNA". It matches the Rfam family "Bacterial small subunit ribosomal RNA", at positions 114 to 354 of the family's 1533-position model. The record is from RNAcentral.